RNAcentral lists this ribosomal RNA (253 nucleotides) under uncultured bacterium. RNAcentral's name for it is "partial 16S ribosomal RNA". It matches the Rfam family "Bacterial small subunit ribosomal RNA", at positions 524 to 776 of the family's 1533-position model. The record is from RNAcentral.
UACGUAGGGGGCAAGCGUUGUCCGGAUUCAUUGGGCGUAAAGAGCGUGUAGGCGGCCAGGUAGGUCGGUUGUGAAAACUGGAGGCUCAACCUUCAGACGUCGACCGAAACCAUCUGCCUAGAGUCCGGGAGAGGAGAGUGGAAUUCCUGGUGUAGCGGUGAAAUGCGCAGAUAUCAGGAAGAACACCCGUGGCGAAAGCGGCUCUCUGGAACGGUACUGACGCUGAGACGCGAAAGCGUGGGGAGCGAACAGG